This 75-nucleotide transfer RNA is filed under the name Bacteroidetes/Chlorobi group bacterium Naka2016. RNAcentral's name for it is "tRNA-Met". It matches the Rfam family "tRNA". From Rfam's summary of the family: Transfer RNA (tRNA) molecules are approximately 80 nucleotides in length. Their secondary structure includes four short double-helical elements and three loops (D, anti-codon, and T loops). RNAcentral also lists the same sequence under 1 other name. The record is from RNAcentral. Lineage: Bacteria; Pseudomonadati.
CGCGGGCUGGAGCAAUGGAAGCUCGUCGGGCUCAUAACCCGAAGGUUCUAGGUUCGAAUCCUAGGCCCGCUACUA